This 292-nucleotide ribosomal RNA is filed under the name uncultured bacterium. Its description in RNAcentral is "partial 16S ribosomal RNA". The record is from RNAcentral.
GGACUACACGGGUAUCUAAUCCUGUUUGAUCCCCACGCUAUCGUGCCUGAGCGUCAGAAACGAGCCAGUGAGCCGCCUUCGCCACUGGUGUUCUUCCCAAUAUCUACGAAUUUCACCUCUACACUGGGAAUUCCACUCACCUCUCUCGUCCUCAAGCUUCACAGUUUCAAUGGCAAUUCCGGAGUUGAGCUCCGGGCUUUCACCACUGACUUGAGAAGCCGCCUGCGCACGCUUUACGCCCAGUAAUUCCGAACAACGCUAGCCCCCUUCGUAUUACCGCGGCUGCUGGCAC